This 477-nucleotide ribosomal RNA is filed under the name uncultured bacterium. RNAcentral's name for it is "bacterial SSU rRNA". It matches the Rfam family "Bacterial small subunit ribosomal RNA", at positions 501 to 981 of the family's 1533-position model. The record is from RNAcentral.
CUACGUGCCAGCAGCCGCGGUAAUACGGAAGGUCCAGGCGUUAUCCGGAUUUAUUGGGUUUAAAGGGAGUGUAGGCGGUUUGUUAAGCGUGUUGUGAAAUUUAGGUGCUCAACAUUUAACUUGCAGCGCGAACUGUCAGACUUGAGUACACGCAACGUAUGCGGAAUUCAUGGUGUAGCGGUGAAAUGCUUAGAUAUUAUGAAGAACUCCGAUUGCGAAGGCAGCAUACGGGAGUGUAACUGACGCUUAAGCUCGAAGGUGCGGGUAUCGAACAGGAUUAGAUACCCUGGUAGUCCGCACAGUAAACGAUGGAUGCCCGCUGUUAGCGCCUGGCGUUAGCGGCUAAGCGAAAGCAUUAAGCAUCCCACCUGGGGAGUACGCCGGCAACGGUGAAACUCAAAGGAAUUGACGGGGGCCCGCACAAGCGGAGGAACAUGUGGUUUAAUUCGAUGAUACGCGAGGAACCUUACCCGGGCU